RNAcentral lists this ribosomal RNA (253 nucleotides) under uncultured bacterium. Its description in RNAcentral is "partial 16S ribosomal RNA". It matches the Rfam family "Bacterial small subunit ribosomal RNA", at positions 524 to 776 of the family's 1533-position model. The record is from RNAcentral.
UACGUAGGGGGCUAGCGUUGUCCGGAUUUAUUGGGCGUAAAGAGCGUGUAGGCGGCCGGGUAAGUCCGGUGUGAAAACUCGAGGCUUAACCUCGAGAUGUCAUCGGAAACUGUUCGGCUAGAGUCCGGAAGAGGAGAGUGGAAUUCCUGGUGUAGCGGUGAAAUGCGCAGAUAUCAGGAAGAACACCUAUGGCGAAAGCAGCUCUCUGGGACGGUACUGACGCUGAGACGCGAAAGCGUGGGGAGCGAACAGG